UAUUAGGUUGGUGCAAAAAUAAUUGUGGUUUUUGCCAUUGAAAGUAAUGGUAAAAACGGCAAUUACUUUUGCACCAACCUAAUA
MicroRNA precursor from Pan troglodytes (chimpanzee), 84 nucleotides. It matches the Rfam family "mir-548 microRNA precursor family". The record is from Rfam. NCBI's taxonomy places the organism in Eukaryota, Metazoa, Chordata, Mammalia, Primates, Hominidae.